This 580-nucleotide long non-coding RNA is filed under the name Canis lupus dingo (dingo). RNAcentral describes it as "lncRNA (ENSCAFG00020006194.1)". The record is from RNAcentral. Lineage: Eukaryota; Metazoa; Chordata; Mammalia; Carnivora; Canidae.
CGACGCGCGGUGGGGGCGACGGGCGGUCCGGGUCACAUCAAGGGACGCGUCGCGGCCGGGGCAGGUCUUGGCCUGGGUCCCCUAGAAAGAAGGGUGUGACUCCCAACAGCAGUCAUCAUCACCCAAGUGGAUUCUGGGCACCCACUUGGCACCAGGCUCUGUGCUGGAGGGAAGGGAGGAGUGGAAGCUUACUGGAAAAUGGAUGGCAGGAGCAGAGACUGCGAGCACAGAGCACAGGGACCAGCUUGCAAGCUGCCAUCAGGGGAGACAUAAUAGGAGCUGAGGCAAUGACAGCAGGAAUGAACAAAAGACAUGCAAAUAAUACCCACCAUUUGGGGAGUAAAAGCGCUUUGCCUUAUUAUAUCGUCUCUCCUUGUUGUAAGAUAUGCGAUGGUGUUAGCCCCAUUGUAUGCAUGAGAAAAUUGAAGUCCAAGAAAAAUUGAAGAGCUAGAAUUUGAAUCCUCUUCCACAUUAAUGGAAAGCCUUAAUCAUUUCCUUCCUCCGUAUCACUUUUGUGUCAACACAACUUAAGUACCAACAACAACUGAGCCCUUCAUAGUCUCAGUCAAAAGAACAUGCG